Molecule: small nuclear RNA, 106 nt
Filed under: Sciurus vulgaris (Eurasian red squirrel)
Lineage: Eukaryota; Metazoa; Chordata; Mammalia; Rodentia; Sciuridae
Source: RNAcentral
UUUCUCAUUUCCACAGCACAUAUACUAAAAUUAAAAUACACAGAGAAGAUUAGCAUGUCCCCUGAGCAAGGAUAACAUGCAAAUUUGUGAAGUAGUCCACAUUUUA